This 22-nucleotide non-coding RNA is filed under the name Arabidopsis thaliana (thale cress). Lineage: Eukaryota; Viridiplantae; Streptophyta; Magnoliopsida; Brassicales; Brassicaceae. The record is from RNAcentral.
UUUUGCAUACAUUUUUAGUAGC